RNAcentral lists this ribosomal RNA (899 nucleotides) under Endoconidiophora fujiensis. Its description in RNAcentral is "LSU rRNA". It matches the Rfam family "Eukaryotic large subunit ribosomal RNA", at positions 38 to 964 of the family's 3401-position model. Lineage: Eukaryota; Fungi; Ascomycota; Sordariomycetes; Microascales; Ceratocystidaceae. The record is from RNAcentral.
GCAUAUCAAUAAGCGGAGGAAAAGAAACCAACAGGGAUUGCCUUAGUAGCGGCGAAGCGAAGCGGCAACAGCUCAAAUUUGAAAUCUGGCUACUUUGUAGUCCGAAGUUGUAAUUUGCAGAGGAUGCUUUUGGUGAGGUGCCUUCCGAGUUCCCUGGAACGGGACGCCAGAGAGGGUGAGAGCCCCGUACGGUUGGACACCAAACCUUUGUAUAGCUCCUUCAACGAGUCGAGUAGUUUGGGAAUGCUGCUCUAAAUGGGAGGUAUAUCUCUUCUAAAGCUAAAUACCGGCUAGAGACCGAUAGCGCACAAGUAGAGUGAUCGAAAGAUGAAAAGCACUUUGAAAAGAGAGUUAAACAGCACGUGAAAUUGUUGAAAGGGAAGCGCCUAUGACCAGACUUGUUUCUGUCAGUUUUGCUUGUUUUCGGACUUGUUUACUCUGUCAGUACAGGCCAACAUCAGUUUGUUGUUUGGGAGAAAGGCUUAGGGAAUGUGGCUCCCUCGGGAGUGUUAUAGCCCUUUGCAUAAUACCAUUCGGCAGACUGAGGACCGCGCUUCGGCAAGGAUGUUGGCGUAAUGGUCAUCAGCGACCCGUCUUGAAACACGGACCAAGGAGUCAACCUUAUGUGCGAGUGUUUGGGUGUAAAACCCCAGCGCGUAAUGAACGUGAACGUAGGUGAGAGCUUCGGCGCAUCAUCGACCGAUUCUGAUGUUCUCGGAUGGAUUUGAGUAAGAGCAUAUAGGGUUGGACCCGAAAGAAGGUGAACUAUGCUUGUAUAGGGUGAAGCCAGAGGAAACUCUGGUGGAGGCUCGCAGCGGUUCUGACGUGCAAAUCGAUCGUCAAAUAUGAGCAUGGGGGCGAAAGACUAAUCGAACCUUCUAGUAGCUGGUUCCAGCCGA